This 477-nucleotide ribosomal RNA is filed under the name uncultured bacterium. RNAcentral's name for it is "partial 16S ribosomal RNA". It matches the Rfam family "Bacterial small subunit ribosomal RNA", at positions 28 to 507 of the family's 1533-position model. The record is from RNAcentral.
GAUUAACGCCGGCGGCGUGCAUAACACAUGCAAGUCGAACGAUGAAAAUUAGUAGACUUCUUCGGAAAGACACUAAGCGGAUUAGUGGCGAACGGGUGAGUAACGCGUGAGUAACCUGCCUUACACAAGGGGAUAGCCUUUGGAAACGAAGAAUAAUACCCUAUAAAACCAUAAAAGCACAUGCUAGAAUGGUCAAAGUGAUAGCGGUGUAAGAUGGACUUGCGUCUGAUUAGCUAGUUGGUGAGAUAAAAGCUCACCAAGGCAACGAUCAGUAGCCGGCUUGAUAGAGUGUACGGGCACAUUGGUACUGAGACACGGCCCAGACUCCUACGGGAGGCAGCAGUGGGGAAUUUUGCACAAUGGGGGAAACCCUGAUGCAGCGACGCGGCGUGAUUUAGAAGGCCUUCGGGUUGUAAAAAUCUUUUGUAUAGGAAGAAAAUGACAGUACUAUACGAAUAAGGUCCGGCUAAUUACGUG